This 267-nucleotide ribosomal RNA is filed under the name uncultured bacterium. RNAcentral's name for it is "partial 16S ribosomal RNA". It matches the Rfam family "Bacterial small subunit ribosomal RNA", at positions 91 to 354 of the family's 1533-position model. The record is from RNAcentral.
CGGACCGGCGCACGGGUGAGUAACACGUAUGCAACCUGGCCGUGACAGAUGGAUAACCGGGAGAAAUCCCGCCUAAUACAGCAUGACGCCGGGAAGGGACAUCCCUUUCCGGCCAAAGGGGGCGACUCCGGUCACGGAUGGGCAUGCGGCGCAUUAGGUAGUUGGUGGGGCAACGGCCCACCAAGCCGACGAUGCGUAGGGGUUCUGAGAGGAAGGUCCCCCACAUUGGAACUGAGACACGGUCCAAACUCCUACGGAAGGCAGCAG